UCCCCGUUAUCCGGGGCGGUUUCGCUAGAGUGCCCGACUUGACUCGCUGGCAACUAACGAUAAGGGUUGCGCUCGUUGCGGGACUUAACCCAACACCUCACGGCACGAGCUGACGACAGCCAUGCAGCACCUAGUUUCGUGUCCUUUCGGCCUGACGCGUUUCUGCGCCAUUCACUAACUUUCGAGCCCAGGUAAGGUUCCUCGCGUAGCGUCGAAUUGAACCACAUGUUCCACCGCUUGUGCGGGCCCCCGUCAAUUCCUUUGAGUUUCAGUCUUGCGACCGUACUCCCCAGGUGCAGGACUUAACGCGUUAGCUGCGGCACCGAGGGGGUCGAUACCCCCGACACCUAGUACUCAUCGUUUACAGCGUGGACUAC
Molecule: unclassified non-coding RNA, 377 nt
Filed under: uncultured Terriglobia bacterium
Lineage: Bacteria; Pseudomonadati; Acidobacteriota; Terriglobia
Description: uncultured Acidobacteriia bacterium contains 16S-23S intergenic spacer region
Source: RNAcentral